This 408-nucleotide ribosomal RNA is filed under the name uncultured bacterium. Its description in RNAcentral is "partial 16S ribosomal RNA". It matches the Rfam family "Bacterial small subunit ribosomal RNA", at positions 28 to 526 of the family's 1533-position model. The record is from RNAcentral.
GACGAACGCUGGCGGCGUGCUUAACACAUGCAAGUCGAACGAAGUGGCGAACGGGUGAGUAAUACGCGGGUACCCUGCCCUCCUUUUUGGGAUAAGCCUUGGAAACGGGGUCUAAUACCGAACAUAGGGGGAUGGGCUCGCGGCCUAUCAGCUUGUUGGUGGGGUGGAGGCCUACCAAGGCGGUGACGGGUAGCCGGCCUAAGAGGGUGACCGGCCACAGUGGGACGGAGAGACGGCCCAGACUCCUACGGGAGGCAGCAGGGGGGGAUAUUGCAAAAUGGGCGAAAGGCUGAUGCAGGGACGCCGCGUGGGGGAUGAGGUCGUACGGGUUGGAAACCUCUUUCGCGAGCGAACGGGUAGGGGGAUAGGAAGCGCCGGCUAACUACGUGCCAGCAGCCGCGGUAAUAC